This 440-nucleotide ribosomal RNA is filed under the name uncultured bacterium. Its description in RNAcentral is "partial 16S ribosomal RNA". It matches the Rfam family "Bacterial small subunit ribosomal RNA", at positions 338 to 795 of the family's 1533-position model. The record is from RNAcentral.
CCUACGGGUGGCAGCAGUAGGGAAUAUUGCUCAAUGGGGGAAACCCUGAAGCAGCAACGCCGCGUGGAGGAUGAAGGUUUUCGGAUUGUAAACUCCUGUUGUUAGAGAAGAUAAUGACGGUAUCUAACGAAUAAGCACCGGCUAACUCCGUGCCAGCAGCCGCGGGAAUACGGAGGGUGCAAGCGUUACGCGGAAUCACUGGGCGUAAAGGGCGCGGAGGCGGGUGAGCAAGUCAGAUGUGAAAUCCUAUGGCGUAACCAUAGGAUUGCAUUUGAAACUGUUCUUCUAGAGUAUGGGAGAGGUAGGUGGAAUUCUUGGUGUAGGGGUAAAAUCCGUAGAGAUCAAGAGGAAUACUCAUUGCGAAGGCGACCUGCUAGACCAUAACUGACGCUGAUGCGCGAAAGCGUGGGGAGCAAACAGGAUUAGAUACCCGAGUAGUC